UAUGCAUGAGAAUGAUAAUUAUAGCUACCACCACAGCAUUUUCGCAUCCCGUAUGUUGACUGUGUUAUGUUGUGCUGGUAGUUUCUCUGCUCGUGGCGUGGUAAUGUGAGUUGGUAUUAACGAAAAACCUAUAUAUUCAAAAUUCUGAAAUGUUCUUGGGACUAAUAAUUGUUAAAGAUGAUAUAAGGACGCCUUGACAUCGUCUUCUGCAGAACGGUAUUAAUGAUCAAACAUAACUCACAAUGAAAAGCAUGAUGCACAUAUUUUAAGGUACGUAGUUUAUACGAUUCAUGUUUACGUUUACGUUUACAUCGUUUACUUUUUUACAUUUAUGAAGUGGAAUUGGAAUCAAGACGAAGUCCAGUAUUACAGGGAAUACUGUUUGUGAUUGGCAAUCGAGCACAAGACACGAUAAUUGUCGUUCCGACAUUCCGUGCAUGGUCACGGUCGCUACGUCCCACAAGCCGUUUUGUUUUUCAUAAAAAAGCGAUUAACGAAUUCCCAUGAUUUUACCAAGAUUAACGAAUUCCCAUGAUUUUAACUAUUUCGGAUUCUAUCUGCUCUUCUAAGUCUAACCCAGUACAAUACUCGAUAGCAAAAGUCGACCAAAAUUCAUUGGAUUUUUAAACUUAACGUUAAAGAAAGAGUGUUUGUGAGACAUGCUUAAUUCCGUUGGGAAAUUCCUUCUUUGUCUGCAUGGAAUUUUGAACGUGUAAGCGGAAAUAGCUAUAGUCUGUAUAAUUAUAAAUAUAGUAUAUGUAGUGGUGUAGUCCUAAAAUUUCAACAAGAACAUGUUCGAUCCUCGAUCGGAUCUCCCCCUUAAUAUAUAUAUCCACCACACACAUCUCUGUAUAUAGUAUGUACAUAUUUUAAGCUCGUUCGAGCUCCAUGACCCCAUGAUGGCAUUUUUUGGGUAGAAUACCUCUGGUAGAAUACUAGAAUACUCUAAUAUUCUGCGACACCAUUUCGUCCAUUUGGCACUACCUACACUGGCAUGCAGACCGUUCAAGGUUAAUGGCCGUUAAUAUGGCAGCGUUUACACUGUACCGUUUUCGUAGCGUUCUCGUAUUGUUCGAGAGAACUAGACUAUUGUCUUGCGUUCCCUUGAGGAUUAAGAACAAUACGAGAACGCUACGAAAACGGUACAGUGUAAACGCUGCCUAUAUCACAUUUCUAGUUUUGUUUAUUAUCUCAUUCCGUUGGUAUAUGUGAAAUGCGUCUUUAAUUGGGGGCAGUACGUAAUACCUAGCUAUAUGCUGAUAAAAGUACCCAUAAGAAAAUAUCGGCAAAUAAUAACAUAAGAAUCGUGAGUUAAUUUUUUUCUGGGGGGUAACCCCUAAUCAGUUUUUGGCGGCGUAGGUAGGGCUCAAGUAACAUUUAUACAAACACUAUAAAAUUACUUUUAAUAUAUUAUUUAUUAUAAAAUAACAUGUAUAUAACGCGUGCUCUGAUUGGUCGAAACCCGUGUUUGGAUCAGGCCAUCCAAACACGGAAAUUCAGUAGACUAUAUCGUGUUGUUGUUAUUUUAUAAAACAAUUACUUUAUGCUUUCCGUGUUUGGAUGGCCUGAUCCAAACACUUGGGAAUGUUGCUCGAGUUAAGAUUGAAAGCGCGCAAAAUCCACGCUUUUCCGAACUCUCGCAACAUCCCGCGUGUUUGGAUCAGGCCAUCCAAACACGGAAACCAUAAAGAAAUUGUAUAUUAUUUCCAUACUUUUUUUUAAAAGUUUUUUAGAACUUAUUUUAAAUCGCCAUCUAUCUAUACCAUAGAAAUAAUAGACAUAGACAUGUCUAUUAUUUCUAUGAUCUAUACGCACGCUUGACCACUAUAGAUUACAUGCAGCGUUCAAUAGAAAAAUGCUGCAUGUAGCAAGUUUUACGACUUUUUCAAGUUAACCAAGAACCUGCAUGUACCACGGUAUUACCGUAUUAGAUUAAUUGUGCUAAGAAAUAAUUUAUUUGUUGCGGUUCAGUAAAUUUUAAUAAACCUAUUUUUUGUUAUAUUUUAGUAAUUUUACAAAGGCAGGUUCGAAUCGUAGUUCAAAUGUGGUAAAUAUGCACGCACACAUAUAAUAUUGAUACAUGAUUUUGAUAUAUAUAUCUGUAGCUUGUUGGGAAGUUCGCUGUCUUUGACUUUAAAUUUGAGGACUUGGUGAAGAAAUGGAUGAUAGCAUUGAUCUCGAUAGAAAGGUGGAUGGAAAACAAUUUACUACAAAAGAAAACAUAGCAGAAGCAAAAGGUAUAUUCGUGUUUUUCUCCA
Non-coding RNA from Paramuricea clavata, 2258 nucleotides. NCBI's taxonomy places the organism in Eukaryota, Metazoa, Cnidaria, Anthozoa, Malacalcyonacea, Plexauridae. The record is from the annotation of a GenBank genome assembly.